CAGUUUCAAUCUGUUGAGGACAAAUAAAGUGAAUAUGGGUAUCGAUUCCGCCCGCUGUUACGAUGUAGCCAUUUCCUCCGUGUACUUCGGUAGAUGCCCCGAUAACCAUUCCUGGCGUUACGCCAUCCAUUGUAUCUGGAUUUCCUGCCUUACCAAUUCCUACAAUUUUCCCAUCUUUUAUCCCGAUAUCUGCUUUUACGAUUCCCCAGUGGUCUAGGAUUGUAGCUCCUGUAAUACAUAAAUCUAGAACGCCGUCUGAUCUUUUUGCAUUCACAUUUUGCCCCAUUCCAUCACGCACUG
RNAcentral lists this small RNA (300 nucleotides) under Ornithobacterium rhinotracheale DSM 15997. RNAcentral's name for it is "5' ureB small RNA". It matches the Rfam family "5' ureB small RNA". The record is from Rfam by way of RNAcentral. Lineage: Bacteria; Pseudomonadati; Bacteroidota; Flavobacteriia; Flavobacteriales; Weeksellaceae.